ACCCCUGGCAGCCCCUCCUGAUGAUUUUCCUUCCUAAGCCUGCUCAUGAUGCGCAAACAGAGCCUCUAAGUUGAUUAAAGGGGCUGCUUCCCC
Saimiri boliviensis boliviensis (Bolivian squirrel monkey) is the source of this 93-nucleotide small nucleolar RNA. The record is from Ensembl. Lineage: Eukaryota; Metazoa; Chordata; Mammalia; Primates; Cebidae.